UGGGGAAUUUUGCACAAUGGGGGAAACCCUGAUGCAGCGACGCCGCGUGAUUUAGAAGGCCUUCGAGUUGUAAAAAUCUUUUCUAUGGGAAGAAAAUGACAGUACCAUAGGAAUAAGGACCGGCUAAUUACGUGCCAGCAGCCGCGGUAAUACGUAAGGUCCGAGCGUUGUCCGGAAUCAUUGGGCGUAAAGGGUACGUAGGCGGGUAAGCAAGUUAGAAGUGAAAUCCUAUAGCUCAACUAUAGUAAGCUUUUAAAACUGCUCAUCUUGAGGUAUGGAAGGGAAAGUGGAAUUCCUAGUGUAGCGGAGAAAUGCGCAGAUAUUAGGAGGAAUACCGGUGGCGAAGGCGACUUUCUGGCCAUAACCUGACGCUGAGGUACGAAAGCGUGGGUAGCAAACAGG
RNAcentral lists this ribosomal RNA (402 nucleotides) under bacterium. Its description in RNAcentral is "partial 16S ribosomal RNA". It matches the Rfam family "Bacterial small subunit ribosomal RNA", at positions 355 to 776 of the family's 1533-position model. The record is from RNAcentral.